UGGGGAAUCUUGGACAAUGGGGGCAACCCUGAUCCAGCCAUGCCGCGUGAGUGAUGAAGGCCUUAGGGUCGUAAAGCUCUUUCGCCUGUGAAGAUAAUGACGGUAGCAGGUAAAGAAGCCCCGGCUAACUCCGUGCCAGCAGCCGCGGUAAUACGGAGGGGGUUAGCGUUGUUCGGAAUUACUGGGCGUAAAGCGCACGUAGGCGGACCAGAAAGUUGGGGGUGAAAUCCCGGGGGCUCAACCCCGGAACUGCCUCCAAAACUAUUGGUCUAGAGUUCGAGAGAGGUGAGUGGAAUUCCAAGUGUAGAGGUGAAAUUCGUAGAUAUUUGGAGGAACACCAGUGGCGAAGGCGGCUACCUGGACCGAUACUGACGCUGAGGCGCGAAAGCGUGGGGAGCAAACAGGAUUAGAUACCCUGGUAGUCCACGCCGUAAAACGAUGUCUGCUAGUCGUUGGGGAGCAUAGCUCUUCGGUGACGCAGCUAACGCAUUAAGCAGACCGCCUGGGGGAGUACGGCCGCAAGGUU
Molecule: ribosomal RNA, 526 nt
Filed under: uncultured bacterium
Lineage: Bacteria
Description: bacterial SSU rRNA
Rfam family: Bacterial small subunit ribosomal RNA
Source: RNAcentral